This 208-nucleotide long non-coding RNA is filed under the name Theobroma cacao (cacao). RNAcentral describes it as "long non-coding RNA (TCAC_LNC004561)". Lineage: Eukaryota; Viridiplantae; Streptophyta; Magnoliopsida; Malvales; Malvaceae. The record is from RNAcentral.
CACUCCCACUCACACAUAGUCUGGUCAGCAACGGCUUAUGUGCACUCCCACUCGUACAUAGCCGGGUCAGCAACGGCUUAUGUGCACUCCUACUCGCACAUAGCCGGGUCCACAUCAACAUACAAAGAAGCACCCAAUGCAUAUCAUGCAUAUUAUCAUAUUGUGAUAACACAUAACCCAUUGUAUAGCACAUUUUCACAAUAUAAAA